Molecule: ribosomal RNA, 1094 nt
Filed under: 'Catharanthus roseus' phytoplasma
Lineage: Bacteria; Bacillati; Mycoplasmatota; Mollicutes; Acholeplasmatales; Acholeplasmataceae
Description: bacterial SSU rRNA
Rfam family: Bacterial small subunit ribosomal RNA
Source: RNAcentral
UUAGUUGGUAGGGUAAUGGCCUACCAAGACGAUGAUGUGUAGCUGGACUGAGAGGUUGAACAGCCACAUUGGGACUGAGACACGGCCCAAACUCCUACGGGAGGCAGCAGUAGGGAAUUUUCGGCAAUGGAGGAAACUCUGACCGAGCAACGCCGCGUGAAUGACGAAGUACUUCGGUAUGUAAAGUUCUUUUAUCAAGGAAGAAAAGCAAAUGGCGAACCAUUUGUUUGCCGGUACUUGAUGAAUAAGCCCCGGCUAAUUAUGUGCCAGCAGCCGCGGUAAGACAUAAGGGGCAAGUGUUAUCCGGAAUUAUUGGGCGUAAAGGGUGCGUAGGCGGUCUAGUAAGUCAGUGGUGUAAUGGCAACGCUUAACGUUGUCCGGCUAUUGAAACUGCUAAACUUGAGUUAGAUAGAGGCGAGUGGAAUUCCAUGUGUAGCGGUAAAAUGCGUAAAUAUAUGGAGGAACACCAGAGGCGUAGGCGGCUCGCUGGGUCUUAACUGACGCUGAGGCACGAAAGCGUGGGGAGCAAACAGGAUUAGAUACCCUGGUAGUCCACGCCGUAAACGAUGAGUACUAAGUGUCGGGUUAAACCGGUACUGAAGUUAACACAUUAAGUACUCCGCCUGAGUAGUACGUACGCAAGUAUGAAACUUAAAGGAAUUGACGGGACUCCGCACAAGCGGUGGAUCAUGUUGUUUAAUUCGAAGAUACCCGAAAAACCUUACCAGGUCUUGACAUGUUUUUGCAAAAUGAUAGUAAUAUCGUGGAGGUUACCAGAAACACAGGUGGUGCAUGGUUGUCGUCAGCUCGUGUCGUGAGAUGUUAGGUUAAGUCCUAAAACGAGCGAAACCCUUAUCGUUAGUUGCCAGCACGUUAUGGGUGGGGACUUUAACGAGACUGCCAAUGAUAAAUUGGAGGAAGGUUGAGGAUCACGUCAAAUCAGCAUGCCCCUUAUGACCUGGGCUACAAACGUGAUACAAUGGCUGUUACAAAGGGUAGCUGAAACGCAAGUUCUUGGCCAAUCCCCAAAAACAGUCCCAGUCCGGAUUGAAGUCUGCAACUCGACUUCAUGAAGUGGAAUCGCUGUAAUCGCG